CGGCGGCGCGGCGGCACUCAGCAGUGACAGCCCGGCGCUGCCGACGCGGCGACCUCGGUCUCGCCGCUGACAGGGUGCCUGGCCGUGCGGCGCUGGCCGCUGAGCCGCCUCACGAGCGGUCGCCGGUGACCACUGCCAGGCCAACUACGUUACCUGCCUCAUAGCACAAAUUCGAGCGACGCAAGUUCAAAUCUCCGCCUGCCCCAGGACAGGUGAGCACGCGAGCGCCGAUCGCCGCCACCGGCCCGCCCGCCUCCAAAUAAAACUGCGCGCCGCGAACCGUGCCAAAAAUCUAGUCACAUUUCGGGUGCGGGCGACGGGCCGUUUUUGCGCGGCACGCGCGGCAAAAAGCGACGCGCCGCGGCAAAAAGUGGCGCGGCCGACGAACGCCGCUGCCGGGCCGGGUGUGCUUCGGUACCAGAGCGCGGGACCAUCUCGUACGCGUCUGGCAGCGACGGCGCCGCUGGGAGCGUUGCU
Long non-coding RNA from Pollicipes pollicipes, 477 nucleotides. RefSeq lists it as uncharacterized. The transcript is spliced from 3 exons. Lineage: Eukaryota; Metazoa; Arthropoda; Thecostraca; Pollicipedomorpha; Pollicipedidae. The record is from RefSeq and is a predicted model, not a curated record.